This 490-nucleotide ribosomal RNA is filed under the name uncultured bacterium. RNAcentral's name for it is "partial 16S ribosomal RNA". It matches the Rfam family "Bacterial small subunit ribosomal RNA", at positions 30 to 507 of the family's 1533-position model. The record is from RNAcentral.
AUUGAACGCUGGCGGCAGGCCUAACACAUGCAAGUCGAACGGUAACAGAAAGCAGCUUGCUGCUUUGCUGACGAGUGGCGGACGGGUGAGUAAUGUCUGGGAAACUGCCUGAUGGAGGGGGAUAACUACUGGAAACGGUAGCUAAUACCGCAUAACGUCGCAAGACCAAAGAGGGGGUCCUUCGGGCCUCUUGCCAUCGGAUGUGCCCAGAUGGGAUUAGCUAGUAGGUGGGGUAAAGGCUCACCUAGGCGACGAUCCCUAGCUGGUCUGAGAGGAUGACCAGCCACACUGGAACUGAGACACGGUCCAGACUCCUACGGGAGGCAGCAGUGGGGAAUAUUGCACAAUGGGCGCAAGCCUGAUGCAGCCAUGCCGCGUGUAUGAAGAAGGCCUUCGGGUUGUAAAGUACUUUCAGCGGGGAGGAAGGGAGUAAAGUUAAUACCUUUGCUCAUUGACGUUACCCGCAGAAGAAGCACCGGCUAACUCCGUG